GAAAUGCGAUAAGUAAUGUGAAUUGCAGAAUUCAGUGAAUCAUCGAAUCUUUGAACGCACCUUGCGCUCCUUGGUAUUCCUUGGAGCAUGCCUGUUUGAGUAUCAUGAAAUAUUCAAAGCAAAAUCUUUUGUUAAUUCAAUUGGUCUUUGCUUUGGUCUUGGAGGUCUUUUGCAGCUUCACACCUGCUCCUCUUUGUGCAUUAGCUGGAUCUCAGUGUUAUGCUUGGUUCCACUCGGCGUGAUAAGUUAUCUAUCGCUGAGGACACUGUAAAAAGGUGGCCAAGGUAAAUGCAGAUGAACCGCUUCUAAUAGUCCAUUGAGUUGGACAAUAUUCUUUAUGAUCUGAUCUCAAAUCAGGUAGGACUACCCGCUGAACUUAAGCAUAUCAAUAAGCGGAGGAAAAGAAACUAAC
RNAcentral lists this ribosomal RNA (412 nucleotides) under uncultured Ceratobasidiaceae. RNAcentral describes it as "eukaryotic LSU rRNA". The stretch from base 1 to 105 matches the Rfam family "5.8S ribosomal RNA", at positions 50 to 154 of the family's 154-position model. Lineage: Eukaryota; Fungi; Basidiomycota; Agaricomycetes; Cantharellales; Ceratobasidiaceae. The record is from RNAcentral.